GGAUUCAGUGGGGAGAGGUUAAAGGGAUCGGGGCCUCGUCUUCGUCUUCCACCCAAUUGUAACAGUUGCUGAGCAAACGGCGUUAUGUCGAAGCCAAGGGGAUUGCCUCCAAGAAUCACAUUGCAUGGCAACGAGACUGAACUGAUAGGCUAUCAAACAUUGGAACGUAGGCCCUAGAAUACUGCCUGGAAGAGGGGUCUCGGACAUACCACCAGCAAACAAAUCAAUGUCAUCAGGAUGUCUGAAGAGAUCACAAAAUUGGAUGGUAAAGGAAUGUCAAAAAAUCAAAUGCGCCAGUUUUCCUGCGGCUUAGAUUGCAAGUUUUUGUUUCAUAUUCCCGGUUGGAGCUGUUUGUAUAAGGCAUGUCAACCUGAAUUUUCCUACAGCAAAUACAUCAGUACCUGUAUGUUCGUUGAAGUGCCUGUGCAGCGAAUUGGUUGUGAUUGACUAAUCCACCCUGCACCACUGCAAAGAAGUUGGCUCUGGGGAGUCCACAGAACUGUCGGAACCGAUCAGACCUGGAUUUCCGUUCCCGCGACAUCCAGCGGGCCAUACGUUCGUAUCCACCUCUGUACAUUAUGUCUGGAUUUUCAAAAUGUUGACUAACAGGGAAGGACACUGGGGGUCCAUUUCC
This is a long non-coding RNA of Magallana angulata, 634 nucleotides long. RefSeq lists it as uncharacterized. The record is from RefSeq and is a predicted model, not a curated record. NCBI's taxonomy places the organism in Eukaryota, Metazoa, Mollusca, Bivalvia, Ostreida, Ostreidae. The transcript has 4 exons.